UGUAUAGGCAGGUGUGUGCAUGCACAGAUA
This 30-nucleotide non-coding RNA is filed under the name Mus musculus (house mouse). Lineage: Eukaryota; Metazoa; Chordata; Mammalia; Rodentia; Muridae. The record is from RNAcentral.